RNAcentral lists this ribosomal RNA (896 nucleotides) under uncultured bacterium. Its description in RNAcentral is "bacterial SSU rRNA". It matches the Rfam family "Bacterial small subunit ribosomal RNA", at positions 26 to 896 of the family's 1533-position model. The record is from RNAcentral.
AGAACGAACGCUGGCGGUGUGCCUAACACAUGCAAGUCGAACGAGAAAGCGGGCUUCGGUCCGUUAGUAGAGUGGCAGACGGGUGAGUAACACGUGGGUAACCUGUCCGGAGGCGGGGGAUAACCCUUCGAAAGGAGGGCUAAUACCGCAUAAUACUCGCCGGGUUUCGGCCUGGCGAAUCAAAACUUGCCUCUACAUGUAAGCAAGUACCACCGGAGGGGCCCGCGGCCCAUUAGCUUGUUGGCGAGGUAACGGCUCACCAAGGCGACGAUGGGUAGCCGGCCUGAGAGGGCGAUCGGCCACACUGGAACUGAGACACGGUCCAGACUCCUACGGGAGGCAGCAGUGAGGAAUCUUGCGCAAUGGGGGAAACCCUGACGCAGCGACGCCGCGUGGAGGACGAAGGCCUUCGGGUCGUAAACUCCUGUCAAGUGGGACGAAUCCGAGGAGAUGAAUAAGCUUUUCGGUUGACGGUACCAUUGAAGGAAGCCCCGGCUAACUCCGUGCCAGCAGCCGCGGUAAUACGGGGGGGGCUAGCGUUGUUCGGAAUUAUUGGGCGUAAAGGGCGCGUAGGCGGCCUGGCAAGUCGGACGUGAAAUCCCGCGGCUCAACCGCGGAACUGCGUUCGAAACUGUCAGGCUUGAGUCCCGGAGAGGGUAGCGGAAUUCCCAGUGUAGCGGUGAAAUGCGUAGAUAUUGGGAGGAACACCAGUGGCGAAGGCGGUUACCUGGACGGGUACUGACGCUGAGUCGCGAAAGCGUGGGGAGCAAACAGGAUUAGAUACCCUGGUAGUCCACGCUGUAAACGAUGGGCACUUGGUGUUGCGGGUAUCGACCCCUGCAGUGCCGAAGCUAACGCAUUAAGUGCCCCGCCUGGGGAGUACGGUCGCAAGGCUG